RNAcentral lists this non-coding RNA (32 nucleotides) under Homo sapiens (human). Lineage: Eukaryota; Metazoa; Chordata; Mammalia; Primates; Hominidae. The record is from RNAcentral.
UGAAUCUGACAACAGAGGCUUACGACCCCUUA